This 384-nucleotide ribosomal RNA is filed under the name uncultured prokaryote. Its description in RNAcentral is "bacterial SSU rRNA". It matches the Rfam family "Archaeal small subunit ribosomal RNA", at positions 341 to 725 of the family's 1478-position model. The record is from RNAcentral.
GCGAAAACUUUACAAUGCUGGCAACAGCGAUAAGGGAACCUCGAGUGCCAGGUUACAAAUCUGGCUGUCGAGAUGCCUAAAAAGCAUUUCAUGGCAAGGCCCGGGCAAGACCGGUGCCAGCCGCCGCGGUAACACCGGCGGCUCGAGUGGUAACCGUUAUUAUUGGGUCUAAAGGGUCUGUAGCCGGCCGGAUAAGUCUCUUGAGAAAUCUGGCAGCUUAACUGUCAGGCUUUCAGGAGAUACUGUCUGGCUCGAGGCCGGGAGAGGUGAGAGGUACUUCAGGGGUAGGGGUGAAAUCUUGUAAUCCUUGAAGGACCACCAGUGGCGAAGGCGUCUCACCAGAACGGACCUGACGGCAAGGGACGAAAGCUAGGGGCACGAACC